UAUGAUUAUAACCACGUAUCAUGACUAAGCACUUUGUUCGUUCUGGGUGAUCAGAGCCUGUAAAUUGAUUAUUGCAGUGAAACAUGAGUGCUCCCGGCCAUUAAUUAGUUGAUACAUCACAGGGGUCUAUCAGUUAUUCCCUUCAUUUAGACACAGGGCGUUAUAACAGUUGUUUUAUUCAGCCUCUAAACCUUCUCUCCUGGCUGUGGAUGUCUGAAUAACUCCUGUUUGUCAUGUGUAGGGUAUCUUUGUUUGUGGGUUUCCACGACAACCGGUGGGAACAACUGCUUGAAUGAUCUGCAUGCUCUUUGUCUGGUGACGGACACAUGGUUGACUUGAUCAAUACAUCCGAGUCUGCAUCACCUGGCUGAUGGUGGUGGAUAAGUCUGACCGCGGUGAUGAUGACUGAGGCCGUGCCAGCUGCCGGACCUGUGCAGGUGACACGGGAGUGACAGGUUGUUCUGGGGUGGAUGGAUGCACCGGAGUGUUCUGUCUCACACUGUGGGUGUUCAAUAUGCUCCGCACCAAGACCUGCCACAUACAAUGAAAAUAAACACCCCGAAUGAUCAUGUCAACACAAGACAGGACUUCUCCUGUUCAUGGAGGGAGAUCCCGGCAAUCCCAGCAUGCAAUGGCUGUCCUCGAGCCAGACUGAAACAUGCGGCGUGCAUCCAUGGCGGCCAUGUCUAUAUCUGCAGUGGGAAAGACAACACACUACCUCUAAAGGAUUUCUGGCGGUACCACAUAGGAAGUGGCACCUGGGAACGUCUGACGUAUCGGGGAACAUCACUGCCACAUCUUCAGGGCCACACCAUCGUCUCUCACAAGAGGAAGCUGUUGAUAUUUGGUGGAGAAUUCAGCACAGGGACCGAUCCACCAUUGUGGAUUUUUAACAUAGAUCAGCAGUUUGUUCACAAGCCCUGCACUGAGGUGAACGUUCAACAGCCAACCAGUCGAAGGGACCACUCCGCAGUGAUGCAUUGUGGGAUUAUGUACAUAUAUGGAGGCUUCGUGGAUCUGAGGGGGUCCAGCAGUGAACUGUGGGCGUACAAUGCAGAUGAAGACUACUGGCAACUGAUUCCCCCAGCAUCGUCAGAGACACCUGGUGGUCGUCACGGCCACAGCAGCAUAAUGCACGGCAACAGCAUGUGGACGUUUGGGGGGCUGUGUGACCUCACUCUCAAAGCAGACCUGUGGAGCUACCAUUUCUUGAGUCAGAGGUGGCAGAGGAUGAAGACAGUGCAAGGCCCCCCUCCCAUGACGGGGCACUCCGCCGACGUUGUGAAGGACAGCAUGGUGCUGGUGGGUGGAGAGAACCAGGGACAGAUGUACAGUGACGUCUGGCUCUUCUGCUUCAAUUCAAGUGUUUGGAGAAAGAUUGCUUUCCCAAGCAGCCCUCAUCAUCCACUACCUAGUUCCCAGCAUGCAACAGUGUGUGUAACCAGUAGCAACAGUCAAGAAGCAGGGGCAGAUAACUCUGCCAGAUGUUUCUCUGAAUCAGUAUUACAGAGCCCAAACCCUAAUGCAAGUGUAAUCAAUGCCGGUCGUCCACGAACAAGCCCUUCAGCGUCAACAGACACUCCACAGACGUCAUGGGUGUACCCUGCGAAGUCUGCCAGCAGAAACUGUGAUAUUCUCUCCCUAGAGUUCAGUAGUGUAAAUAGUGCAGAGAUGACCAAGGUCAGAGGUCAUGAUCAUGCUCCGAGGUCACAGGUCAUGACAGGUGACGACAAACGACCCUUGCUGAGAUUUGUGUCUCGAGAUUCGAACGAAUCUAUUGGAAUUGACAAUGUAGUGGACUGUACUGCAGAUGAAUCUCAUGCUCCUGUAAGUAAAAAGUGCUCUGACUCAACGGCCAAACCCCUUAAUGCCAAAGAACAAUCUUCUGUUGUACAUACUCAUCAUGCUGACGACCUUGUCAGGGAACCUCAUGUCCAGAAUCAAGGCAGUGAAAUCAGGGAUAGGAAAUCUGCUGUUGUUCUUCAUGGAAGCUCGCAGGUCGACAGCUCGAAAUCACACAAAACCAUCCUGACGACACCAACCAUUCCAAAUCGUUAUCAAACCACCCAACCCAAUUGUCAAACCACCCAUCCCCAGAUGACCUCGACACUGGCCCACACCAGUCCGGCCAACCGUGAUACAACCAUAGACCCUCCUAAGAAGGCUAUCUACUCCAAGUACUGUGAUGAUUUGUAUAUUGAAGACAUUGAACAAGAACAGUUGUCACCUGUCAAGGUGCCCAAUCCCUUCAUCCUGACCAAGGAAUCCACGCAGGUGAUAAUGCAAGACUGCAUGGAACUUGAAUUGUUUCACAUGCCAAAAAUUGGCAGCUCAAUUGAAGGUCAGAGGUCAAGGUCGGGACACGACCUCUGCACCACCUUCCUGUCAGACACUGGUGAUUUCCGUAGUCCAAGGUCAAGAGAUUCAGGGUCUGCUCUAUGCUCAGGUGCGGAUGUGAAUAGUUCUCAGAAUGCUAGUACAAGGUACAAGGUACAAGGUCAAGAUGGAGGAUUUAAUAAAGUUCUUGUAACUGUGGCAACUCAGACAGGAAGUAACCUUGACCUUCGACCUAGCAAUCCGGGAGAGAGGAUAGCUUCUAUUCAAGAAGAAGGAAAGGACUCGUUGGAUGCUGAGCCCUUCCUGUUGGUGUUUGGUGGGAAAGCCAGGAAAAGACAACUCUGUCAACAGCCAAUCAGUGUGUGGCGAUGUGAGCUCACAGUUUAACAGGCUAAACAUGGACAUCACAUAGGGCUUGGUUGACUUGCUGUGAUUAUGUUCUAACCAUCGGUCAUACCAGUGCAUUUAUUGAGUCAUCUCAUUCCAUGGCCAGUGCAGGAUUAAACAAGGUUAUUUUUCAGUGGACAGAUUUCCUUGUAAUAGUCCUAAUGAAAGAAUCAUUCAUUAUAGAUUAGUCAAAUUUUCACAGGACAGGAAUUUUUUAACAGUAUUUAUUAUUUUUUUAUUCUGUGCGAUAAUAUCUUGUGCCUAUUGAUUCCUCUCAUGUGACACUGUUCAUACAUCGUCAGUGCAAGCCAGGAGGGCUGUCAUUGAUGGGAAAGUUUUGUGUCAGUAUAUAGAUUCACAAGUCUCACGACAUCUUGAUAUUAAUUAAAAAUAUUGUUAUUCUGUAUGUGUAUCUAGACCUUCAAUUAGUCACCUUAAUAUGAACAAGGCUGAUCCAAUAAAUAGAAUUUCUGCCUUAUUAUUACCAUGGUAAUCUAAAUAAAUAUAAACAUUUCUGUGGAAAUCAUUAAUUUACUAUUGGUAUUCAUGAAUUUGUAUCGAUAUCAUAUAUACAAUGACAUAUCGCAAUCAAGUCCAUCCAUUAUCGAAUGAAGUAGAUGGGACCAGUGUCCCAGUUGUCUAUGGUGUUGCAAUUCUCUGCGCAGAGUUGUCUCCCUUAGACAUGACAGGAUCCUAUGAUCAUGGAUUUGAAUCCCAGAUUAGCCCUGCCUGUGAUAAAACUGACAGCUCUGGUAGAUUUUUCUCUAUUUAUUAUAGAGAAAAGUAUUGUAUUCUUUUGUCAAUGUAUUCCCUGUCGAAUACAUCUUUCUAAAUCAUGACAAUUGUUGACAUCAAUCUGAAUACUGUUACAUUAUUCUUGACUUAGUUUCUAUGAUAUUAUACAAGGUGAAAAAGAACAUUCACAAGCCUUACCUCUGCAUAUGAUGUAUGUCUUAUGGUUUCAACAAAUUGGAGCUACAUAAUUUCUUGGCAGUGAAUUAAGCGAGACUGCGUUUUUCUGUGUGUGUGAUGUUACAGAUGACUGAAAUGUUUAUUUUUUAUUGUUCUGUGUUCAUGCACAUUGGUGGCUAUACAAUUUUCCUAGCUUUAUUUUAUCUUUAUAGCUUGGACAAGAAUGUAUUUUUUUAAUAAUUGUCUGUUUUGUUCUGGCAUAAUGCGUCGGCAUAAUUGUAAUCAGUUAUUUCUUUAAUGUUUUUCCUUUUUGUUCCUAGCAAGUUUAGUGUUGACUCAUGGAAUACUUUUUGUUACAUUAUGUACUCACUUUUCCUCUUGCCGUUAUUCAGACAUUAGAUGUUUCACUCUGAUACGAUACCUCUCUGUGUGAAUGAUUGUGGGUUCGAAUCAAGGUUCGCCCCGAUUAUGUUUCUAGACAAUAUGAUAGUGGCUUUACUUUUAUAGUUCACAUUUAAAGUCAAAUGUGCUUGUGAUGGACACGUCUGGCGUCCAGUUGUCCGUCCAUCAGCGUUUACAUUUCGACUUCCACUACAAGGCCCGUGGAGCUGAAACUUGGUAGCAAUGAUCCUAGUUAUGGUGGUUCUGAAAAGUGUGACUUUAUUUGCAGUAGGUAGGGGUAUGUGGAAUAACAUAUCAUACAACUUGGGGCAUAUUUCCAUUCCAGCUGUGGAGUCUCGGAACAUUUGCAUACACAAUUCCACACAAGUCUGACUUUAAACACGGCCGCCAUUAUUUCUUCAUAAUGAUCUACAGAACCUUGGUGUAAUUUUUAGCAACCAGAGCUCGCUGAUUAAAUUAGUUUUCAAGAUAUCAGUUAAUCUGGUCUGAAUGCUUCACUAACUCGUACUGAGAAUUUAGUAGGUCAGUACUGAUUGGCUGAUUCAAAGAUCGCAGAUCUUGAAGCUGAGAGGUAUCAUAUCUGUGUUGAAGAUCUAGUUUGAAUGAGAUUGACCUUUACCCAAGUGCAAUUAGUUGGAUAUUCCAGAAGACAGUUUAUGGGCAUUUGUACUGAAGUGUGUGGUAUGUGACAAGAUCUUUUAUGCAUUACCGAGUGAUAUGCAGAAACAUACUUGUCCAAGCUUCAGGGUCCUGUGAUAUUUUUCUAUGUGCCUAGUACUAUCUACUUAUGGGUUAAAAGAUCGGUGAAGCUAAUAUGGAUUUUGUCAUCGAAGUGUUUUUGUUAGCUGUGAGACCAGGGGCUUUCUUUAUGAAAACUGAUAAUACUUCAUGGAAUAAUGUUUUGAAUAUCUUGUAAUGAGUUUCGUUUAUGUAAGAAUAUAGGUUCACAGCAACCCAUGCUUGUCGUAAGUGCGACUAAAUUGAUCGGGUGGUCAGGUUCCAUGACUUGGUUGACUGUAUGUCAUCCAUCCCAAUUACAUGGAUCGUUGUUCACAAUAUAAAUCACUGAAUUGUCUGGUCCACUUGAUUAUUUACAGACUGCCAUCAUAAGCUGAAAUGUUGCUGUAUGCAGUGUUAAAACAACAAUCAAAACAAAAUAUUAAUUGUCCUGUUAUGCAACCUGCGUGAAAUAUUGCUGUCUGUAUGUUUAUAAUUCUGUUUUGGGGCAGUGGGAAGGGAGGGGGUGGGGAGAUUUAAGAAAAACUUAAUUAACUAAGUUUUUAAUCGUCUUCAUCGAUCUUUUGACAAGAACUCUUAAAUAACUGUUGACCAAAAAUAGCCCAUAUGUUCACAAUUGUAGCUGUGAAAUUGCAAUUCAGCUGUUUCCUAAAUGUAUGGCACAUGAAUUACAUGGAGAGGGCGAUAUAGACAGGUGUACCCUGCUGUUGAUGGUUUAUGUUGGAGCAGCCAUUUUGUUUCUUGUAAGACUCGUAGAAACUUUAUUUUCUUUGUUUGUAGCUGGUCCUACUUGAAGGAGACAGACAUGUUUACUCUGUCAGAUUUAUUCAGUUCCAAUUUGUAGUUAAAUUUGAAGCCUUGAGAACUGGUUCAGAAUUAUAGCCCGCAAAUGUUACUGGUCAGUGAGGGCUAUCAUCAUUUUUGGCUUGUCCUGAGCACAAUUUACUUGUCUCGGGAGACGUUAAACACAAACAACUGUGAUAAUAAUUGUUGUGUCUGUUGAUGAUAUUGAUUGUCAGACUCUGUCUUGUGAUAUUUGUUAAUUGUUUGCAGAUAUUCUGGAGAACCAACAAUAAUUACCUACCAGUGACUAAGGCAACUAUGCUUGUCGUAAAAGGCGACUAACGGGAUUGGGUGGUCAGGCUCGCUGACUUGGUUGAUGCAUGUCAUCGAUCCCAAUUGCGUGGAUCGAUGCCCAUGACAUCAAUCACUGGA
Molecule: RNA transcript, 5991 nt
Organism: Haliotis rufescens (red abalone)
Lineage: Eukaryota; Metazoa; Mollusca; Gastropoda; Lepetellida; Haliotidae
Gene name: tip elongation aberrant protein 1-like
Exons: 11
Source: RefSeq, a predicted model, not a curated record